Molecule: ribosomal RNA, 253 nt
Filed under: uncultured bacterium
Lineage: Bacteria
Description: partial 16S ribosomal RNA
Rfam family: Bacterial small subunit ribosomal RNA
Source: RNAcentral
UACAGAGGUCUCAAGCGUUGUUCGGAUUCAUUGGGCGUAAAGGGCGCGUAGGCGGCGGGGUAAGUCGGGUGUGAAAGCCCUCGGCUCAACCGAGGAAGUGCGCCCGAAACUGCAGAGCUUGAGUACCGGAGAGGAUGGCGGAAUUCCCCAAGUAGAGGUGAAAUUCGUAGAUAUGGGGAGGAACACCGGUGGCGAAGGCGGCCAUCUGGACGGAUACUGACGCUGAGACGCGAAAGCGUGGGGAGCAAACAGG